This 253-nucleotide ribosomal RNA is filed under the name uncultured bacterium. RNAcentral's name for it is "partial 16S ribosomal RNA". It matches the Rfam family "Bacterial small subunit ribosomal RNA", at positions 524 to 776 of the family's 1533-position model. The record is from RNAcentral.
UACGGAGGGGGUUAGCGUUGUUCGGAAUUACUGGGCGUAAAGCGCGCGUAGGCGGACUGGAAAGUUGGGGGUGAAAUCCCGGGGCUCAACCCCGGAACGGCCUCCAAAACUAUCAGUCUAGAGUUCGAGAGAGGUGAGUGGAAUUCCGAGUGUAGAGGUGAAAUUCGUAGAUAUUCGGAGGAACACCAGUGGCGAAGGCGGCUCACUGGCUCGAUACUGACGCUGAGGUGCGAAAGCGUGGGGAGCAAACAGG